UGGAUGAUGUGGAUUAAUUCGAUGCAACGCGAAGAACCUUACCUACCCUUGACAUGUCCGGAACUUGCCAGAGAUGGCUUGGUGCCCGAAAGGGAAUCGGAACACAGGUGCUGCAUGGCUGUCGUCAGCUCGUGUCGUGAGAUGUUGGGUUAAGUCCCGCAACGAGCGCAACCCUUAUCAUUAGUUGCUACGCAAGGGCACUCUAAUGAGACUGCCGGUGACAAACCGGAGGAAGUGGGGAUGACGUCAAGUCCUCAUGGCCCUUAUGGGUAGGGCUUCACACGUCAUACAAUGGUCGGUACAGAGGGUUGCCAAGCCGCGAGGCGGAGCCAAUCCCACAAAGCCGAUCGUAGUUCGGAUUGUUCUCUGCAACUCGAGAGCAUGAAGUCGGAAUCGCUAGUAAUCGCAGGUCAGCAUACUGCGGUGAAUACGUUCCCGGGUCUU
This 444-nucleotide ribosomal RNA is filed under the name uncultured Thiobacillus sp. Its description in RNAcentral is "bacterial SSU rRNA". It matches the Rfam family "Bacterial small subunit ribosomal RNA", at positions 933 to 1382 of the family's 1533-position model. Lineage: Bacteria; Pseudomonadati; Pseudomonadota; Betaproteobacteria; Nitrosomonadales; Thiobacillaceae. The record is from RNAcentral.